UACGUAGGGUGCGAGCGUUAAUCGGAAUACUGGGCGUAAAGCGUGCGCAGGCGGUCUGUUAAGACCGAUGUGAAAUCCCCGGGCUUAACCUGGGAACUGCAUUGGUGACUGGCAGGCUUUGAGUGUGGCAGAGGGAGGUAGAAUUCCACGUGUAGCAGUGAAAUGCGUAGAGAUGUGGAGGAAUACCGAUGGCGAAGGCAGCCUCCUGGGCCAACACUGACGCUCAUGCACGAAAGCGUGGGGAGCAAACAGG
This 253-nucleotide ribosomal RNA is filed under the name uncultured bacterium. Its description in RNAcentral is "partial 16S ribosomal RNA". It matches the Rfam family "Bacterial small subunit ribosomal RNA", at positions 524 to 776 of the family's 1533-position model. The record is from RNAcentral.